This 252-nucleotide ribosomal RNA is filed under the name uncultured bacterium. Its description in RNAcentral is "partial 16S ribosomal RNA". It matches the Rfam family "Bacterial small subunit ribosomal RNA", at positions 524 to 776 of the family's 1533-position model. The record is from RNAcentral.
GACGGGGGAUGCAAGUGUUAUCCGGAAUCACUGGGCGUAAAGCGUCUGCAGGUGGUUUCCUAAGUCCACUGUUAAACCUUGAGGCUCAACCUCAAAUCUGCAUUGGAAACUAGGAGACUUGAGUAUAGUAGGGGUAGAGGGAAUUUCCAGUGGAGCGGUGAAAUGCGUAGAUAUUGGAAAGAACACCGAUGGCGAAGGCACUCUACUGGGCUAUUACUGACACUCAGAGACGAAAGCUAGGGAGCAAAUGGG